UAAGCGGAGGAAAAGAAACUAACAAGGAUUCCCCUAGUAACGGCGAGUGAAGAGGGAAGAGCCCAAGAUUGAAAGCUGGCGUCUUCGGCGUCCGCAUUGUAAUCUCAAGAAGUGUUUUCCGCUUCGGACCAAGCCUAAGUCCCUUGGAAAAGGGCAUCAUAGAGGGUGAUAAUCCCGUACAUGGCUUGGAGCGCCCGAAGCUUUGUGAUACGCUUUCUAAGAGUCGAGUUGUUUGGGAAUGCAGCUCAAAAUGGGUGGUAAAUGCCAUCUAAGGCUAAAUAUUGGGGAGAGACCGAUAGCGAACAAGUACAGUGAUGGAAAGAUGAAAAGAACUUUGAAAAGAGAGUUAAACAGUACGUGAAAUUGCCAAAAGGGAAGGGUAGGAGGUCAGAGAUGCGGCCUGGGAUUCAGCCUUGCUUUUGCUUGGUGUUUUUCCCAGAUUGCAGGCCAACGUCGGUUUUGGGCACUGGAGAAGGGUAGGAGGAACGUGGCACCUCUCGGGGUGUGUUAUAGCCUCCUACUGGAUACAGCGACCGAGACCGAGGACAGCAGCGUACUCGCAAGAGCGGGCCUUCGGGCACCUUUACGCUUAGGGCGUUGGCAUAAUGGCCCUCUACCACCCGUCUUG
RNAcentral lists this ribosomal RNA (628 nucleotides) under Moesziomyces aphidis. RNAcentral's name for it is "eukaryotic LSU rRNA". It matches the Rfam family "Eukaryotic large subunit ribosomal RNA", at positions 47 to 656 of the family's 3401-position model. The record is from RNAcentral. Lineage: Eukaryota; Fungi; Basidiomycota; Ustilaginomycetes; Ustilaginales; Ustilaginaceae.